AACGCACAUUGCGCCCGCCAGUAUUCUGGCGGGCAUGCCUGUUCGAGCGUCAUUUCAACCCUCAAGCCCCCGGGCUUGGUGCUGGGGAUCGGCCGUUACGGGCCGGCCCCGAAAUCUAGUGGCGGUCUCGCUGUAGCCUCCUCUGCGUAGUAGCAACACCUCGCACUGGAACGCGGCGCGGCCAUGCCGUUAAACCCCAACUUCUAAAGGUUGACCUCGGAUCAGGUAGGAAUACCCGCUGAACUUAA
This 248-nucleotide unclassified non-coding RNA is filed under the name uncultured fungus. Its description in RNAcentral is "partial contains 5.8S ribosomal RNA, internal transcribed spacer 2, and large subunit ribosomal RNA". The stretch from base 1 to 52 matches the Rfam family "5.8S ribosomal RNA", at positions 103 to 154 of the family's 154-position model. The record is from RNAcentral. Lineage: Eukaryota; Fungi.